UGGAAGACCUGGAUGCUUCAUACUUUGUAUAUAGAUGCCUCAUGUUACGAAGUUUUCCGUCAGUCACAUGUCCAAUGUCUUGACCUCAUUUUCAUGGUUCAGUGACCACUUGAAAAAAAGUUCAAAUUUUUUUAAUGUUGAAUUCUCUCUUAUUAUAAGUAAUAGGAUAACUAUAUUUGAUAUGUGCGUACCUUGCAAGGUCCUCAUGUCUGUCAGAUAGUUUUCACUUGACCUCGACCUCAUUUCAUGGAUCAGUGAACAAGGUUAAGUUUUGGUGGUCAAGUCCAUAUCUCAGAUACUAUAAGCAAUAGAGCUAGUAUAUUCAUUGUAUGGAAGGACUGUAAGGUGUACAUGUCCAACUGGCAGGUGUCAUCUGACCUUGACCUCAUUUUCAUGGUUCGGUGGUUAUAGUUAAAUUUUUGUGUUUUGGUCUGUUUUUCUCAUACUAUAUGAAAUAGGUCUACUAUAUUUGUUGUAUGGAACAAUUGUAAGGUGUACAUGUCUAGCGGGCAGAUGUCAUGUGACCUUGACCUCAUUUUCAUGGUUCAGUGGUCAAAGUUAAAUUUUUGUGUUUUGGUCUGUUUUUCUCAUACUAUAUGCAAUAGGUCUACUAUAUUUGUUGUAUGGAACGAUUGUAAGGUGUAC
This 645-nucleotide long non-coding RNA is filed under the name Mytilus galloprovincialis (Mediterranean mussel). The record is from RNAcentral. Lineage: Eukaryota; Metazoa; Mollusca; Bivalvia; Mytilida; Mytilidae.